UCUAUAAAUUUAGUAGACAGUUCGAAAGAGAGAAUGCUACUUUGGUCUUUAUUUUGAAUAAUUUUGACUGUCGUCAUUACCUUACUCUGACUUUAUUACACUAAUAAUAACACUCCAAGUUUAAAAUUACUAAUAAAGAAAAAAAAAUCAAUGUAUUCAAAGACAAACUACACUAUAUUCGAACCAAGAGCAUGGAGGGAAGAAAUAAAUUACUUAGAAAUUGCUAAAAAUUGUAAAAGAAAAUCUUCUAAGAUGAUAGAUACUUUUUACCAGAUAUUCGAACCAAGAGACUGGAUGGAAGAAAUAAAUUACUUAAAACUUGUUAAAAAUUGUAAUACAAAAUCUUGUAAGAUGUUAGGUAUGAAUUUAAAUCCAGGCAAACCUACUUAAAGUAUUGUAUAUAAAUUAUUUCUUGAUGUCGUUUUCUAAAUUAAGUAAUAAAAUGUACAUAGUAGACAGUUGAA
Molecule: long non-coding RNA, 464 nt
Organism: Sitophilus oryzae (rice weevil)
Lineage: Eukaryota; Metazoa; Arthropoda; Insecta; Coleoptera; Curculionidae
Exons: 3
Source: RefSeq, a predicted model, not a curated record